CCUACGGGGGGCUGCAGUGGGGAAUAUUGGACAAUGGGGGGAACCCUGAUCCAGCCAUGCCGCGUGUGUGAAGAAGGCCCUCGGGUUGUAAAGCACUUUCAGUGAGGAAGAACGCCUGGUGGUUAAUACCCAUCAGGAAAGACAUCACUCACAGAAGAAGCACCGGCUAACUCCGUGCCAGCAGCCGCGGUAAUACGGAGGGUGCGAGCGUUAAUCGGAAUUACUGGGCGUAAAGCGCGCGUAGGUGGCUUGAUAAGCCGGUUGUGAAAGCCCCGGGCUCAACCUGGGAACGGCAUCCGGAACUGUCAAGCUAGAGUGCAGGAGAGGAAGGUAGAAUUCCCGGUGUAGCGGUGAAAUGCGUAGAGAUCGGGAGGAAUACCAGUGGCGAAGGCGGCCUUCUGGACUGACACUGUCACUGAGGUGCGAAAGCGUGGGUAGCAAACAGGAUUAGAUACCCUGGUAGUC
This 465-nucleotide ribosomal RNA is filed under the name Vreelandella stevensii. RNAcentral describes it as "partial 16S ribosomal RNA". It matches the Rfam family "Bacterial small subunit ribosomal RNA", at positions 338 to 795 of the family's 1533-position model. Lineage: Bacteria; Pseudomonadati; Pseudomonadota; Gammaproteobacteria; Oceanospirillales; Halomonadaceae. The record is from RNAcentral.